RNA transcript from Manihot esculenta (cassava), 1563 nucleotides. It is a transcript of the gene named putative E3 ubiquitin-protein ligase XBAT35, with no coding region annotated. The record is from RefSeq and is a predicted model, not a curated record. NCBI's taxonomy places the organism in Eukaryota, Viridiplantae, Streptophyta, Magnoliopsida, Malpighiales, Euphorbiaceae. The transcript has 3 exons.
UGAUCCAAAUGAACAGUGGGGACGUAUAGUGUAUCCUUUGCAUUGCUCCAGCCUCCAAUUUGAAAUAUUUGUCAGAUAGCUAAGGGAGUUUUUUACUAUAUUGAAAUUAUUCUGAUAUUAUGAUUGUUGUGACCCCACUUAGUACAUUGUCUUGUUAGAGACACGCGUUAGACUUGCACCUGCAAAUGAGGGUGAUAAGCAGCAGCUUCAGUGGUUCUGUGAUGCAUGCAAAGGAAUUCCACAGGCAAUGCAUCCUCCUGCUUUUCUGCAUAAUCCUGUGUCUUCAACAGUUCAAGCGACAGCUCCUCCAUCUGCAGAAGAGUUAGAAUUAGCAAUGGCACUCAAUGCCUCUAUCCAGUCUGCCAUGGCAGAGGCACCAAUUAUUGAUGCUCACUCUGGUGGAGCAAGUGCUUCCACCAGUUGGAAUGAGCCCGUGAAUGCUGGCAGUCAAAGUGUUCUUCCUUCAAAAGCAACUGGUAGUAUGUGGGCUGCACAUGAAGCUGGCCCUAGUGGCAAUCCAACUCAGCACCAGAUCCAGAACAGCGACAUCUCUACUGUGCAGACAGCAACUCAAGCCCCUGAUUCAGUCCCAUCAGCUCCAUCCAUCAUAGAUGAGAUUGUAGAAGAUGGUCCAAUUCAUUAUCCAUCGAUUGAUUCUAGUCCUAUUGAUAUGUGUUCCCCUCCUGUGGAUAACUUAGCAGCUAGCACAGGCGAAAAGAAAGAGAAUGGUGGUUCUUCAUCCUGCACUAUAUGUUUGGAUGCUCCAGUUGAGGGGGCGUGCAUCCCAUGUGGCCAUAUGGUUGGUUGUAUGUCUUGUUUAAAGGAGAUCAAAGCAAAGAAAUGGGGUUGCCCUGUGUGCCGUGCCAAUAUCGACCAGGUUAUAAGGCUGUAUGCUGUUUGAAAGUUCAAGCAGAAUGAGAAAGGUGCAAACGGUAAUUACGAUUCAAGCAUUUCAUAGAGAUUUGUUUCUACCUUUGUUUCCACCUUCUUACUCACAACUUACCUAUACAUGAGUUAAAUUCCCCUCCAAAUAUUUUUAUGCUUUCCUUCGACUUUUAUAUGAUAUUGGUACCUUACAUACUUUUUAAUUUUUAUCAAUUUCAAAAAGGAAAAGACCUUUUUCAUCCCUACAUUUUUGUGAAAAUUUUAUUUUCUUUUUUAGCAUUCAUCUUCAGGCACAAAGAUAAAGUUUUAUUUCUGCCCCUGCAUAUUCCUCCUGGUAGGAUCAAGUGCUUGCUUUUAAUGUAUAUUUUGCCGGCAUAACAUUGUUGACCAACUUAUUUGGAAGUUGGAAAUUUUUUUUCUGAUUCUCUGAAUGAUAUAAAAAUUAUAUCAAAACCGGAAGAAGCUAUAGGCUUUAUACCAAUAAUAAGUUGCAUGAUCAGAGACUGUAAGGAGGUCAAUGAUACCUUAGAAACCACAAAGUAACGGUAUAAGAAAGUAAAUUUAAGAGAGCAAGGAGAUGCUAACUGCCAGAUAUUAUCUGCAGCUGCAGGUGAGUUUGAUCACACUGAAGAAUCAAUAACUUCAGCAGCACAAGAUCUGUCCAUGAGCGGUGCAAAA